Pangasianodon gigas (Mekong giant catfish) is the source of this 73-nucleotide non-coding RNA. The record is from the annotation of a GenBank genome assembly. NCBI's taxonomy places the organism in Eukaryota, Metazoa, Chordata, Actinopteri, Siluriformes, Pangasiidae.
UCAGUUCAGCUUUCUCCUGAGCUCUGAUCAGCUUCUUCACCUCCGAGCGUUUUUUCUCCAUGGUGCUGAUCAG